Molecule: long non-coding RNA, 1507 nt
Filed under: Heterocephalus glaber (naked mole-rat)
Lineage: Eukaryota; Metazoa; Chordata; Mammalia; Rodentia; Bathyergidae
Description: lncRNA (ENSHGLG00100046442.1)
Source: RNAcentral
CAACCGGCUCUCAAGAAAAUUGACUGCAAGACCAGCAUUAAUCCUUCCCAAUGGCAAUGCCCACAUGAUCUAAUUACUUUGCACCAGGCCCCAUCUCUCAAGUUUUCUGCUACCUUCCAAUACCACUACACAGGGGACCUCUCACAUAAGCCUCUGAGGGACAAACUAUCCAAACUGUCACACUGACUUUGAAAAAAAUUAUUAAAAUAGGCAAACUUCUCCCAAGACUUAGGAAGAAAAAGAAAAGACACAAUAUUAAGGAUGAAAUACAAGUAUAAAUAUAGUUGAUCUUUAAUAUCUUAAGUGAAUCUAAGACUUAAUUUUUGGGGGGGGGUACUGGGGAUUGAACUAGGGUCCUUGCGCUUGCACAGCAGGCAGCGAAACCACUGAGCUAAAUCUCCACCCUAAAGACUUAAUUUUUUAAUAGAAAAUUGUAGAAAAACAUCAAAACUGACAAUCUGGACAAAUACUAUUAAAGGAAUUAAGUUGUUAAUAAAAAAUCUGACACUAUCCAUAAUCCCCAAAAGGUACCAGGCACAGACAGUUUUACAAGUGAUUUUGUACAACAUUUAGCAAACAAUCCUUUACGAAAAAUAGUCAUGAGGCUAGAAAACAGGAAACAUGCUUUUAAUAAUGCUAGUUUACUUGAUAAAAUCUGAGGACAGUACAAAAAAAACUGCAGGCCAGUAUUACUUGUAAACAUACUUGCAAAAAUCCUAUAUGAAAUAUUGGCAAAUUCAAAUGCAAUCAUUAUUAAAAUAUAAAACACUAAGAAGUGCAAGGCUAGUUUAUUAAGAGCAAACAACCUUUAAAGAAUUUAGUAAAAUCUAAAAGAUAAAUAUAUUUUUGCUGUUGUAAAAUGUAUGUAACAAAAUCUGUGGUUUUAAACAUUGUAAGUGUAAAAUUAAGUAUGGCAAUAUAUUCAACAGUUUUGUGCAAACAUCGAUAACUAUUUCCAAAAUUUCAUCAUCCCAAACAGAAAAUCUGUUCCCAUCAAGCAGUAAGUCCCUUUUUGUUUCCACUUAGCCCCUGGUACCCUCUAAUCUUUCCUUGCUUCCUUUUUCUUCCUUUUAAAUAUGGCCUUGUGUUUUGUCAUUUCAUUUCAGCCUUAAAGACUCAGACUAACAUUUAGUAUAGUACUGAAUACCUUUAGCAUUUUUCAGGGAGUCUUUCUUUCCCCAUUUUUUUUUUUUUUUGUUUUUGGUAUCGGGGAUCGAACUUGGGUCCUUGCGCUUGUGGAGCAGGCAUUGAAACCACUGAGCUAAAUCCCCGGCACUUUUCCCAUUCUUAAAGGACAAUUUUGCUGGAUAUGGAAUUCAACAUUUUUUUUUUCCUUUUAGCUUGUUAAAUGUUAUCCUACUGCCUUCUGGCCUCCAUGAUUUGUGAUCAGAAAGUAUGUGCUAAUCUUACCGAAGAUCCCUUGUAGAUGGUUUCUCUGGAGGGAUGGGUGUUUGGACUGUCUGCUUCACCAUUUUGCUGAAAUCAUUCUAUAAAUGUAUUUUUGAAC